GUCGCCAGCUAGCUGUGUGGCCUCAGAGCACACUCUUAACCCCUCUGAGUUUGGCUUACCUGAAUCACAGCGGGCCAGCUGAGUGCAACCAUUUUCAAGGUCUGUUCAUACAAUUCAGAGGACUCAAGGUCCAGACUCACCAACAUUGCCAAGUGAAACUGUGCCAGCCUUCAAACUUCUCAGCCUUCUGAGGAUUGACUGCCCAGAAUUGGUAUAUCCCGUAACCCUGUCCGAGACUAGGGUAAAGCUGCAAGUGGGUUCACUCCUCCUGCCAGACGUGUGCCCAGGCCAACCUACAAGGGGCUCUCCACAUACGUCAGUCUCUACACUAGCUUUGCAGACACCAACUGGACAUAGAUUGGUAGGAUGGAUAGAAGCGUUUCCAGCCUCCAGGAAAAUAGCAGAUGUGAUGGCUCUGGUACUCCUGGACCACAUCAUUCCUUGGUUUAGUGUCCCACUAACCAUCCAGACGGACAACGAACUCAUCAAACAACUAACCAAGUUCUCCAUUAAACUCAGACACUUGCCUUCUCACCUCCCACAAGGGACAGAUGCUUGACAUCUCCAGGAUGACAGUACAUGGGAUGCCUUUCCAGCCACACCUCUUGCUGAGCAUGGACCCACCAACACCUAGCUCUCCCCUUCCCCGCGUCGCCCUAUACCCGCAGGAAGUAGCCAGACUUGAGUCAAUGUUCCUUUUUCUCAGAGAGCCUAUCAUUUCAAUUUCAUGUCAUCCCUAUAUCCAAAGAGUCUGGAAUAUUAAGUUGGGAGCAUAGACCCCAGCUCCUUGCAUCUAUCCUAGCCCCCAGGCCUGAAAGUUGUAUUGGUCUGGACUCCAAAUCCCAGCAUGCCAGGUCCUGACCCCUCCCUCGGGGUUCAGGACCACUCCCACAGGGUAUUUAAGUGAACUCCCAAAAGAGGAACAUGUGGUCUCUUUUUCUUCCUCCUGGUGGUCUCCUUUGCAGCCUCCUGGUUCCCCCUCGGGGGCCACCUGAGAGAGCAGGAAUCCCAUUAUUUUUUAAUUUGGCUUGUUUUGAUUGGGCUUGAUUGGGAUUUUGCAUUGGCAGAGAGCUCAUGUUAGGAAAAAUUCCUAACACUUACAAGCAGUAUGUAUGGCCAUAGACACCUCUGGAACUUUAGGUGUCUUGGUAAGAAGCAGCCCUAUCUUUAGCUAAUGUCCCAAGUAGCGUCUCUCCUCAACCUUGGUUGCUAGCUCCUAAUUGACCACUGAAUUCCCUCCUUAGCCAAUCACAAAGGGAGAUCAAAGGUGCUUGCAUUUGUGAUGGCUAGCAUUACAUUGGAAGGUUUAAUUGCUAUGUUUAUGAUUUAUAAGGCAUCUGGCAUGCAAACCCCGACCUUCUGCAGGCUGUCAGCUCACUUUCCUUUUUCCCAGACGUUGACUGAAUCUGUAAAUUCUGAUGUUCUUACAAGAUAAUAGGUCAUAAGAUUAACUGCUAUUUCUCCUUUUGUAAUCAAGCUUGCUUACUAUGCUUUAAAGGUUGAUUAGGACAAUUGCAAGACAUACGUAUUUUAAAAAGAGUCUUUGUGGUGAUUUGAAUAAAAAUGGUCCCCAUAGGCUCUUAGGGAGUGGCACUAUUAGGGGCUGUGGCCUUUUUGGAAUAGGUGCCUUAGUUUGGGUUUUUAUUGCAAUGAAGAGACACCAUGACCAUGGCAACCCUUACA
This is a non-coding RNA of Myodes glareolus (Bank vole), 1683 nucleotides long. Lineage: Eukaryota; Metazoa; Chordata; Mammalia; Rodentia; Cricetidae. The record is from RefSeq and is a predicted model, not a curated record.